Molecule: long non-coding RNA, 202 nt
Organism: Carassius gibelio (silver crucian carp)
Lineage: Eukaryota; Metazoa; Chordata; Actinopteri; Cypriniformes; Cyprinidae
Exons: 3
Source: RefSeq, a predicted model, not a curated record
CUGAGUGAACCUGCUGUCAGACAAUCACUAUUGCACACCAAAUGCUCUUACUCAGCAGAUGGGGACAGCUACCAUCACCCAAUUUUCACCCAAAAGUGGCUGCGCUAUUCGCCAGACUGGGCAGGAGGGACUGGACGACAACUUAUGCAGGCAUCAGAUGACAAUGAAAUGUAAAUAAAGAGUAGAGAAGCUAAUAAACAUG